This 253-nucleotide ribosomal RNA is filed under the name uncultured bacterium. Its description in RNAcentral is "partial 16S ribosomal RNA". It matches the Rfam family "Bacterial small subunit ribosomal RNA", at positions 524 to 776 of the family's 1533-position model. The record is from RNAcentral.
UACGUAGGGGGCAAGCGUUAUCCGGAUUUACUGGGUGUAAAGGGAGCGUAGGUGGAUUGUUAAGUCAGUUGUGAAAGUUUGCGGCUCAACCGUAAAAUUGCAGUUGAAACUGGCAGUCUCGAGUUGGAGAGAAGUAUGCGGAAUGCGCGGUGUAGCGGUGAAAUGCAUAGAUAUCGCGCAGAACUCCGAUUGCGAAGGCAGCAUGCCGGCUCCACACUGACGCUGAGGCACGAAAGUGUGGGUAUCAAACAGG